Molecule: small nuclear RNA, 106 nt
Organism: Microcebus murinus (gray mouse lemur)
Lineage: Eukaryota; Metazoa; Chordata; Mammalia; Primates; Cheirogaleidae
Source: Ensembl
GUGCUUUCCCAUCAGCACAAAAGCUAAAAAUGGAACAAAGCAGGGGAACUUAACAUGGCCAGUGUGUAAGAAUAACAUGCACAUCUGUAAGGUAUUUUCUGUAGUG